This 158-nucleotide ribosomal RNA is filed under the name Blautia massiliensis (ex Durand et al. 2017). RNAcentral's name for it is "partial 23S ribosomal RNA". It matches the Rfam family "Bacterial large subunit ribosomal RNA", at positions 2768 to 2925 of the family's 2925-position model. The record is from RNAcentral. Lineage: Bacteria; Bacillati; Bacillota; Clostridia; Lachnospirales; Lachnospiraceae.
ACGCUGAAGGCAUCUAAGCGUGAAGCCCCCCUCAAGAUGAGAUAUCCCAUUCUUAUGAAGUAAACCCCCUUGAAGACGACGAGGUAGAUAGGGCAGAGGUGGAAGUGUGGUAACACAUGGAGCUGACUGUUACUAAUCGGGUGAGGGCUUGACCAAAA